CGGAAAUACCGAAGCAAGCAACACUCCAAAUACACUAUUUCUGCAGAAAUGGCUUGUCACUCAAGUUAAAAACAAGUAGAACAAAUCGAUUCUCAGUCAGUUCUUAGCUAUCCCGGACUCUCAAAGCUGUGACGAAUCAGAUCGAAGAUGUUUCUCACUAGAACCGAGUAUGAUAGAGGUGUCAACACUUUCUCGCCCGAAGGAAGGUUGUUUCAAGGGAAAGCUAUGACUGAUAUGG
This 238-nucleotide unclassified non-coding RNA is filed under the name Hevea brasiliensis (rubber tree). Lineage: Eukaryota; Viridiplantae; Streptophyta; Magnoliopsida; Malpighiales; Euphorbiaceae. The record is from RNAcentral.